ACACGUAAGGGGCGAGCGUUGUUCGGAAUUAUUGGGCGUAAAGGGCGCGUAGGCGGCUUGGCAAGCUUGGUGUUAAAAACGACGGCUUAACCGUUGGUAAGCACUGGGAACUGCCUGGCUAGAGGUCUGGAGGGGGAGCUGGAAUUCCUGGUGUAGGGGUUAAAUCUGUAGAUAUCAGGAAGAACACCGGUGGCGAAGGCGAGCUCCUGGCCGGAAACUGACGCUGAGGCGCGAAAGCGUGGGGAGCGAACAGGAUUAGAUACCCCAGUAGUCC
RNAcentral lists this ribosomal RNA (274 nucleotides) under uncultured bacterium. RNAcentral's name for it is "partial 16S ribosomal RNA". It matches the Rfam family "Bacterial small subunit ribosomal RNA", at positions 523 to 796 of the family's 1533-position model. The record is from RNAcentral.